RNAcentral lists this ribosomal RNA (2817 nucleotides) under Acheta domesticus (house cricket). Its description in RNAcentral is "bacterial LSU rRNA". It matches the Rfam family "Bacterial large subunit ribosomal RNA". Lineage: Eukaryota; Metazoa; Arthropoda; Insecta; Orthoptera; Gryllidae. The record is from RNAcentral.
AGGGCAGACGGUGGAUGCCUUGGCUCUCGGAGGCGAUGAAGGACGUGAUAAGCUGCGAAAAGCUUGGGGGAAGUGCAAAUAACUAUUGAUCCCAAGAUGUCCGAAUGGGGCAACCCGUCAGGUUGAAGGCCUGACAUUCUCUUAAUGAGAAGGCGAACGUGGGGAACUGAAACAUCUAAGUACCCAUAGGAGAAGAAAACAAAAGUGAUUCCGUAAGUAGUGGCGAGCGAACGCGGAUUAGCCCAAACCAGUGUUGUUUCGGCAACAUUGGGGUUGUAGGACUACGUUGUGGCAAGAACUUAGUGUAGUGGAGCGCUUUGGAAAGAGCGGCCAUAGAGAGUGACAGCCUCGUACACGACACGCUAAAGAAGCCUAGUAGUAUCCUGAGUAGCGCGGGACACGUGAAAUCCUGUGUGAAUCUGUGGGGCCCAUCCCAUAAGGCUAAAUACUCCCGAGAGACCGAUAGCGAACCAGUACCGUGAGGGAAAGGUGAAAAGAACCCCGAACAGGGGAGUGAAAUAGACCCUGAACCCGUUUGCCUACAAGCGGUCGGAGCGAUUGUAAGAUUGUGACGGCGUGCCUUUUGCAUAAUGAACCUACGAGUUACUUACACUGGCAAGGUUAAGAGCCAUGAGGUUUGUAGCCGAAGCGAAAGCGAGUCUUAACAGGGCGGUAUUGAGUCGGAGGGAGUAGACGCGAAACCAAGUGAUCUACCCAUGGUCAGGUUGAAGGUUAGGUAACACUAAUUGGAGGACCGAACCGGUAAACGUUGAAAAGUUUUCGGAUGAACUGUGGGUAGGGGUGAAAGGCUAAUCAAACUUGGAGAUAGCUCGUACUCCCCGAAAUGCAUUUAGGUGCAGCCUCAGGUGUUCUUAAUACGAGGUAGAGCGACUGAUUGGAUGCGAGGGCUUCGCCGCCUAUCAAGUCCAGAUAAACUCCGAAUGCGUAUUAAUUAGAGCCUGGGAGUGAGGGCAUGGGUGCUAAGGUCCAUGUCCGAGAGGAGAAGAAUCCGGACCAUCAGCUAAGGUCCCCAAAUAACAGUUAAGUUGGUUAAACGAAGUCGGCGUGCAGAGACAGCUAGGAUGUUGGCUUGGAAGCAGCCAUUCAUUUAAAGAGUGCGUAACAGCUCACUAGUCGAGGAGUCUGGCGUGGAUAAUACUCGGGCAUAAACUGUUUACCGAAGCUAUGGACUCAAUUAAUUUGAGUGGUAGGGGAGCAUUCUAACGGCCUAGAAGGUAAGAGAUAACUCUUGCUGGAGCUUUUAGAAAAGCAAAUGUAGGUAUAAGUAACGAUAAAGGGGGUGAGAAACCCCCUCGCCGAAAGACUAAGGAUUCCUGAUCAACGCUAAUCGGAUCAGGGUUAGUCGGGACCUAAGGUUCACCCUUUGCGGGGAGACCGAUGGCAGAAAGGGUUAAUAUUCCCUUACUACUUUAUGAGAGUGAUGUGGAGACGGAGAAGUGAAAGUCCUGCCGCCUGACGGAAUAGGUGGUUAAAGGGUGUAGAUGUCGAUUUAGGUAGGCCAAAUCCGCCUAGAGAGUCGAACCUGACAGUAUGCUGCGUACUUGUACAAGGCAAAAUGGAUGUAACCAGGCUCCCAAGAAAAUCCGCUAAGCGUUAUAAAUCAUAGAGUACCCGUACCGUAAACGGACACACGUAGUUGGGUUGAGUAUACUAAGGCGCUCGAGUGAUUCACGGUUAAGGAACUAGGCAAAAUGGUCCUGUAACUUCGGGAUAAAGGACGCCAGCUGUGAAAGGCUGGCCGCAGAGAAUAGGCCCAGGCGACUGUUUAACAAAAACACAUGGCUAUGCAAAUUGGAAACAAGAAGUAUAUAGCCUGACACCUGCCCGGUGCUGGAAGGUUAAGAGGAGAGCUUAUCUUCGGAGAAGGUUUGAAUUGAAGCCCCAGUAAACGGCGGCCGUAACUAUAACGGUCCUAAGGUAGCGAAAUUCCUUGUCGGGUAAGUUCCGACCUGCACGAAUGGUGUAACGAUCUGGGCACUGUCUCAACCGUGAGCUCGGUGAAAUUGUAGUAUCGGUGAAGAUGCCGAUUACCCGCGAUGGGACGAAAAGACCCCGUGAACCUUUACUAUAGCUUUACAUUGAAUCUGGGCAUCAGAUGUGUAGGAUAGGCCGGAGGCUAUGAAGCGGGCACGCCAGUGUUCGUGGAGCCGUCGUUGAAAUACGGCCCUUUGGUUGUCUGGGUUCUAACUCUCUUAAGAGAGGACAUUGUAUGGUGGGUAGUUUGACUGGGGUGGUCGCCUCCAAAAGUGUAACGGAGGCUUCUAAAGGUACCCUCCGACCGAUUGGUAACCGGUCUUAGAGUGUAAUGGCAUAAGGGUGCUUGACUGGGAGAGAGACAACUCGAUCAGGUAGGAAACUAGAGCAUAGUGAUCCGGUGGUUCCGCAUGGAAGGGCCAUCGCUCAAAGGAUAAAAGGUACUCCGGGGAUAACAGGCUGAUCGCUCCCAAGAGCUCAUAUCGACGGAGCGGUUUGGCACCUCGAUGUCGGCUCGUCACAUCCUGGGGCUGGAGAAGGUCCCAAGGGUUGGGCUGUUCGCCCAUUAAAGUGGCACGCGAGCUGGGUUCAGAACGUCGUGAGACAGUUCGGUCUCUAUCUAUCGUGGGCGUAGGAUAUUUGCGAGGCUCUGACACUAGUACGAGAGGACCGUGUUGGACAGACCUCUGGUUUGCCGGUUGUUUCGCCAGGAGCAUGGCCGGGUAGCUAAGUCUGGAUUGGAUAAGUGCUGAAAGCAUCUAAGUACGAAGCCAGCCUCAAGAUUAGAUAUCCCUUAAGGGUGGUUAUAGACUAUGACCUUGA